CACCCCCCCACCCCCAGGACACCUGCACAAAGCAAGGUGUCAUGGAAAUCUUUACCAUUCACUGCAGAGAAACCAAUUCAAACCAAGCGCAGAGCAGCCUUUCCAUCCUCGUAUUAAUACAAGAGAAGGAACCAGGACGCAGAGAAGCACUAAGGUGAGCUGACAACGUCUGCACCAGAGCUGACCCAGGUCUACGCUACGGGACCUCUGCUCUCCCCUCAGCAUCGUUUUCAGAGCAAGUGAUCGGCGCACCCAGGAGAGGAACAGCACUGGGAGAGGAUACCAGCGUGUUUUUUGCCUUCUUUCUGUUCUCAAAGCAAGCUCUGAUUCAAACAAAAAGUGCAUCUUCUCAGGCUGUGGGAGCCCUGCCGACCCAGGCGCAGACACAACGCGCUCACCUUGCGUCUGCUCUCCAACGGGUACGCGCGGUGGGCGCACAGAAGCGGGGUGCGCUGGGGGCACCGGAAACCAUGCGGAAAGGACACCGGGGACUCGCAUUGCAUGUCCCUCUCUCCCACGUGCACGUUCCGUGGUCCCACUGGACUUCCCUUACAAAGCACAAGUUCAAAGAAAAAAUUAUUAAGAAUUUUUGACUUGGUGUA
This is a long non-coding RNA of Hippopotamus amphibius kiboko, 602 nucleotides long. RefSeq lists it as uncharacterized. The transcript is spliced from 3 exons. The record is from RefSeq and is a predicted model, not a curated record. NCBI's taxonomy places the organism in Eukaryota, Metazoa, Chordata, Mammalia, Artiodactyla, Hippopotamidae.